AAACCAACAGGGAUUGCCUCAGUAGCGGCGAGUGAAGCGGCAAGAGCUCAGAUUUGAAAUCGUGCUUUGCGGCACGAGUUGUAGAUUGCAGGUUGGAGUCUGUGUGGAAGGCGGUGUCCAAGUCCCUUGGAACAGGGCGCCCAGGAGGGUGAGAGCCCCGUGGGAUGCCGGCGGAAGCAGUGAGGCCCUUCUGACGAGUCGAGUUGUUUGGGAAUGCAGCUCCAAGCGGGUGGUAAAUUCCAUCUAAGGCUAAAUACUGGCGAGAGACCGAUAGCGAACAAGUACUGUGAAGGAAAGAUGAAAAGCACUUUGAAAAGAGAGUGAAACAGCACGUGAAAUUGUUGAAAGGGAAGGGUAUUGCGCCCGACAUGGGGAUUGCGCACCGCUGCCUCUCGUGGGCGGCGCUCUGGGCUUUCCCUGGGCCAGCAUCGGUUCUUGCUGCAGGAGAAGGGGUUCUGGAACGUGGCUCUUCGGAGUGUUAUAGCCAGGGCCAGAUGCUGCGUGCGGGGACCGAGGACUGCGGCCGUGUAGUCACGAUGC
RNAcentral lists this ribosomal RNA (540 nucleotides) under Pichia kudriavzevii. Its description in RNAcentral is "partial large subunit ribosomal RNA". It matches the Rfam family "Eukaryotic large subunit ribosomal RNA", at positions 62 to 626 of the family's 3401-position model. The record is from RNAcentral. Lineage: Eukaryota; Fungi; Ascomycota; Pichiomycetes; Pichiales; Pichiaceae.